CGGCGUGCCUAACACAUGUCAAGUCGAAGCGGAGAUUGCUUAGAUGAGAGCUUCGGCAGGAGUUCCGGUAAUUCAGCGGCGGACGGUGAGUAACGCGUGAGCAUCUGUCUCAGACGAGGGGGAUAACGCGAGCGAAAGUUGCACUAAUACCGCAUGAGACCACAACGUCACAUGACGAAGGGGUCAAAGGAGCAAUCCGGUCUGAGGUGAGCUCGCGUCCCAUUAGGUAGUUGGUGAGGUAACGGCCCACCAAGCCGACGAUGGGUAGCCGACCUGAGAGGGUGAUCGGCCACACUGGAACUGAGACACGGUCCAGACUCCUACGGGAGGCAGCAGUGGGGAAUAUUGGGCAAUGGGCGAAAGCCUGACCCAGCAACGCCGCGUGAGUGAAGAAGGUCUUCGGAUUGUAAAUCUCUGUCCUAAGAGAAGAGGGGAAGACGGUAUCUUAGGAGGAAGCCCCGGCUAACUACGUGCCAGCAGCGGC
Molecule: ribosomal RNA, 484 nt
Filed under: uncultured bacterium
Lineage: Bacteria
Description: bacterial SSU rRNA
Rfam family: Bacterial small subunit ribosomal RNA
Source: RNAcentral